RNAcentral lists this unclassified non-coding RNA (1071 nucleotides) under Hevea brasiliensis (rubber tree). The record is from RNAcentral. Lineage: Eukaryota; Viridiplantae; Streptophyta; Magnoliopsida; Malpighiales; Euphorbiaceae.
UUCUUGGUAACCAAAUUUUCUUGGCAAAGCUUUUCUGCCAAUAUCAGUAUCUACAGGAACAGGAAUUGGGGGACAACAUUUGUUCUUUACAAACAGUGAAACUCCACCAAGAAGCGCCAAAACGCACACACAGGCUAGAGCAAUAAGAGCAAUAGGCAAUAUCCUACGUCUCUUCAGUUCGCCUUUUUUAUUGUUUGCAACUUUGGUUCUCAAAUUUGAAGAGAAUGCCCAUGAAUUGAUUUGGUUUCUCUCAAGAUACUGGCCAGUAGAUGCUGAGAAACCAAUGGAAACCCACUCAGGAAGAAGUUCCAUCAGAUCAAUGACAUAAGAAAGGGAAUUGUUGCCUGUAAAAACUAGAUUUUCAUCAUAAGUCCACAAAACACUCAGGUUCUUGGCAGUAGCAUUGUAACUUAUCCCAACUUUAGCAGUCUUGCCACUGUACGAGCCAGGAUCCCAUUUAGCAUAAACAGCAGAACGAAUCGAGUUAUUGUUGAUCCCAACAUGCUGCACUGGUGGAUCCCAUUCUUCAUUCACAAAGGUAUCAAACUCAGCCAUGACUAAUUGGUUUCGAGACGCAGCAUCACUUGUAGUGGUGUUAAAUAAUCCUAGGAACCCACCAGGUGAAUUGGUUGGAAUUGAGUUGCCCACAGAAGAAAGGAAAAAGACAAUGCCAUGGCCAUAGGUAUCAGCAUUAAGAGUAUCAAUAGUGAAGGAGAAAUUGGUAGUGAAAUCUGUAAGUGUCCUGGUAGAGGAGUCCCAUAGGUGCAGAGGCUCUACAUAAGUAGCACGGCCAACGUGACAUAACCACUUGAUCGAGUUCAUUUCAAUAGCUCCAACAAUUGGUGCGGCAUCACCUUCAUAGAUUAUGUUGUUUGCACCAGGAUCAAACCGAUCUAUACUGAAGGAAAGUGCUUGAGUAUAGUCUGCAUAAAAAUGGAGAAAGUGGGUAAUGGUGAUGAGAAAAAUUAUGCGAGUGUGAGAGCUCAUGUAAGGAAAACAAGUUGCUAGUUUGGCUGCAGACAUUGUUUUUGUAAUGAAUUAUCCAGCGAAUAAUUGUUAUAUAUAAUCAGA